UUGAUCACGCUGGUGUGGGAACUAUAAAGCAAUACUGAGGGGAGUCUGAGCACUGGCAUUUUCACUUACAUACCUUUUGAAACUUGAAAUAACCUUAUGAAGUCGAGCUGGAAGAAACGAAGAACCUCAACAAUUUUUAUUUCUACUUUUGAUCAAGGAAAAGCGUAUUUAGAAGGUUCGCUAGAGAAAAAUUUAGCAGUUUGGAGGAUUGAGAUCCUUUGGCAGAGAUAUGGGAGUGUGAGCAGGAAAUAUUUUUUUAAAGGAAGAGCUGGUGUUUUAGGAUGUCAAAGGUACAAAUUAUGAUGGUGCCAUGGUUGACAGAAAUUUGCAAGAUCUCCGUAUCUACAUGAACUCUUUGCUCCUGACUAUUAGCUGACUGGUCCAGAAAUUCUUGAUCCAAGCUUGAUAUGUAAGCUUCUCUCUCCUGUGAAUAUGGCACUGAGAGACACAAGAUUAGAAGCCCUGGGUGCUGAUCAAACUCAUAGCAAGGAAGAGUGGUGGCUCAAGACUGCCUGCUCCUGAGACUUCUGAGAAGGGUGUCUCUCUGUCUGUGUGGAUGCCUGAUGCUUCUGGUAUUUCACAAAUCUUGAGCCUGGCCAGGAGUUUACUAACAGGCACCCCUGUGUCAUCUGAACAAGUAACUGGAAGAACCUAACACAGACACCUGUAGGGCAGGACUCCUUAUUUUCUGACUCCCUGGCUCUGACCACAGAUAAAUAUCCCGCAGUGGAAUCAGCCUUCCCAGGGACCUCCCUGGACUCUGAGAAGUGAUUAAAGGGACUGUGCGGCAGUCAUGGGGAUGCAAGCAGCUGUGGCCAUCAAACUGGUUCUAACAGACAGUAUGAGAUCUUCAUGAUUCUGGACCAUAAGGAUUCCAAAUAGGCUGUUCACUUAUGAGUAGGCCUGUAACACGGACGUGUGAGAAUAAACGCCAGAGAAAAAUUUUUGAUGGUAUUGACAUGGAAUGCAUCUGUGGCACAGGCCAGCGAAGAGAUGGGUUGGCUUCCUCUUCGAGUCAGAGCAAAAGGAUGUG
This 1033-nucleotide long non-coding RNA is filed under the name Homo sapiens (human). Its description in RNAcentral is "HSALNT0337372". The record is from RNAcentral. Lineage: Eukaryota; Metazoa; Chordata; Mammalia; Primates; Hominidae.